GCCCAGGUAGCUCAGUCGGUAGAGCAGAGGAUUGAAAAUCCUCGUGUCGGCAGUUCGAUUCUGUCCCUGGGCA
This 73-nucleotide transfer RNA is filed under the name Thiolapillus brandeum. It matches the Rfam family "tRNA". From Rfam's summary of the family: Transfer RNA (tRNA) molecules are approximately 80 nucleotides in length. Their secondary structure includes four short double-helical elements and three loops (D, anti-codon, and T loops). Lineage: Bacteria; Pseudomonadati; Pseudomonadota; Gammaproteobacteria; Chromatiales; Sedimenticolaceae. The record is from Rfam by way of RNAcentral. RNAcentral also lists the same sequence under 1 other name.